Molecule: ribosomal RNA, 428 nt
Filed under: Chloroflexota bacterium
Lineage: Bacteria; Bacillati; Chloroflexota
Description: Chloroflexi bacterium partial 16S ribosomal RNA
Rfam family: Bacterial small subunit ribosomal RNA
Source: RNAcentral
UGGGGAAUAUUGCACAAUGGGCGCAAGCCUGAUGCAGCCAUGCCGCGUGUAUGAAGAAGGCCUUCGGGUUGUAAAGUACUUUCAGCCGGGAGGAAGGUGGUAAGGUUAAUAACCUUAUCAAUUGACGUUACCGACAGAAGAAGCACCGGCUAACUCCGUGCCAGCAGCCGCGGUAAUACGGAGGGUGCAAGCGUUAAUCGGAAUUACUGGGCGUAAAGCGCACGCAGGCGGUUGAUUGAGUCAGAUGUGAAAUCCCCGGGCUCAACCUGGGAACUGCAUUCGAAACUGGCAGGCUAGAGUCUUGUAGAGGGGGGUAGAAUUCCAGGGGUAGCGGUGAAAUGCGUAGAGAUCUGGAGGAAUACCGGUGGCGAAGGCGGCCCCCUGGACAAAGACUGACGCUAGGUGCGAAAGCGUGGGGAGCAAACAGG